This 97-nucleotide transfer RNA is filed under the name Candidatus Methanomassiliicoccus intestinalis Issoire-Mx1. It matches the Rfam family "tRNA". Rfam says of the family: Transfer RNA (tRNA) molecules are approximately 80 nucleotides in length. Their secondary structure includes four short double-helical elements and three loops (D, anti-codon, and T loops). Lineage: Archaea; Methanobacteriati; Thermoplasmatota; Thermoplasmata; Methanomassiliicoccales; Methanomassiliicoccaceae. The record is from Rfam by way of RNAcentral.
GCCGUCGUAGCUCAGCUGGUAGAGCGUAUGACUGUUAAUCCUCUUAGAAAGAGGAACAGUCAUCAUAAGGUCAACGGUUCGAACCCGUUCGACGGCG